UAAUGCAGUCGAGCGAACGGACGAGAAGCUUGCUUCUCUGAUGUUAGCGGCGGACGGGUGAGUAACACGUGGAUAACCUACCUAUAAGACUGGGAUAACUUCGGGAAACCGGAGCUAAUACCGGAUAAUAUUUUGAACCGCAUGGUUCAAAAGUGAAAGACGGUCUUGCUGUCACUUAUAGAUGGAUCCGCGCUGCAUUAGCUAGUUGGUAAGGUAACGGCUUACCAAGGCAACGAUGCAUAGCCGACCUGAGAGGGUGAUCGGCCACACUGGAACUGAGACACGGUCCAGACUCCUACGGGAGGCAGCAGUAGGGAAUCUUCCGCAAUGGGCGAAAGCCUGACGGAGCAACGCCGCGUGAGUGAUGAAGGUCUUCGGAUCGUAAAACUCUGUUAUUAGGGAAGAACAUAUGUGUAAGUAACUGUGCACAUCAUGACG
This 438-nucleotide ribosomal RNA is filed under the name Staphylococcus aureus. RNAcentral's name for it is "bacterial SSU rRNA". It matches the Rfam family "Bacterial small subunit ribosomal RNA", at positions 52 to 474 of the family's 1533-position model. Lineage: Bacteria; Bacillati; Bacillota; Bacilli; Caryophanales; Staphylococcaceae. The record is from RNAcentral.